Molecule: ribosomal RNA, 301 nt
Filed under: uncultured bacterium
Lineage: Bacteria
Description: partial 16S ribosomal RNA
Rfam family: Bacterial small subunit ribosomal RNA
Source: RNAcentral
CAGCGCCGCGGUAAUACGAAGGGGGCUAGCGUUGUUCGGAUUUACUGGGCGUAAAGCGCACGUAGGCGGAUCGAUCAGUCAGGGGUGAAAUCCCAGAGCCCAACUCUGGAACUGCCUUUGAUACUGUCGAUCUGGAGUAUGGAAGAGGUGAGUGGAAUUCCGAGUGUAGAGGUGAAAUUCGUAGAUAUUCGGAGGAACACCAGUGGCGAAGGCGGCUCACUGGUCCAUUACUGACGCUGAGGUGCGAAAGCGUGGGGAGCAAACAGGAUUAGAUACCCGCGUAGUCCCUGUCUCUUAUACC